Molecule: ribosomal RNA, 766 nt
Filed under: uncultured bacterium
Lineage: Bacteria
Description: bacterial SSU rRNA
Rfam family: Bacterial small subunit ribosomal RNA
Source: RNAcentral
AGUCGACGGAGAUUUUCAGGAAGUUUACUUUCUGAAUUUCUUAGUGGCGGACGGGUGAGUAACACGUGGGUAAUCUGCCUAUCACAUUGGGAUAACAGGGUGAAAACGCUGCUAAUACCGAAUAAGCCGACGGAGGUGGGAGCCUCUGCCGGAAAAGGAGCAAUCCGGUGAUAGAUGAGCCCGCGGCUGAUUAGCUAGUUGGUGAGGUAACGGCCCACCAAGGCGACGAUCAGUAGCCGGCCUGAGAGGGUGAACGGCCACACUGGAACUGAGAAACGGUCCAGACUCCUACGGGAGGCAGCAGUGGGGAAUCUUCCGCAAUGGGCGAAAGCCUGACGGAGCAAUGCCGCGUGAGUGACGAAGGCCUUCGGGUUGUAAAGCUCUGUCUUCAGGGACGAAUAAAUGACGGUACCUGAGGAGGAAGCCACGGCUAACUACGUGCCAGCAGCCGCGGUAAUACGUAGGUGGCAAGCGUUGUCCGGAAUUACUGGGCGUAAAGGGCGUGUAGGUGGACUGAUCAGUCGGAUGUGAAAUAUCCAGGCUUAACCUGGGGGCUGCAUUCGAUACGGUCAGUCUUGAGUGCAGGAGAGGGCAGUGGAAUUCCCAGUGUAGCGGUGAAAUGCGUAGAUAUUGGGAGGAACACCAGUGGCGAAGGCGGCUGCCUGGACUGUAACUGACACUGAGGCGCGAAAGCGUGGGGAGCAAACAGGAUUAGAUACCCUGGUAGUCNACGNCGUAAACNNUGGGUACUAGGUGUAGGAGGUAU